RNAcentral lists this long non-coding RNA (583 nucleotides) under Homo sapiens (human). Its description in RNAcentral is "non-protein coding lnc-APOC3-8:1". The record is from RNAcentral. Lineage: Eukaryota; Metazoa; Chordata; Mammalia; Primates; Hominidae.
GGUGGCUGGACGUUGAGAGAAGCAAAUCAGCGCAGGAACACACAGGCGGCUGGACAUCGAGAGGAACACACCGACGGCUGGACAUCGAGAGGAACACACCGACAGGCACUGGCACUGUGAAAGAAGGCAGACAAAAUGUGUGCAUAUUGUAGCUUCCAUUUAUAUAAUUGUAGGAAAUGCAAAUGAAUCUAUAGUGACAGAAAGCAGAUCAGUGGUUGCCUAGGGACUAGGGGUGGGGGGUGCAGGAGAGAGGGAUUUAAAGGGACACAAAGAGGUCACACAGGCCUGUCCCUAACCUGGGGCAUCUCGGGUUGCUCUCCUUUUCCAGGAUCGUGUGAGUGGGGCAUGGGAAAACGGCUCCUUCUACUCACCCCCCAGGGGAAAAAAAAACAUUGUAAAUGUCAGAAAUGUGAUGGAACUGUCAAAAAUACAUGACAUCGGUAAUACAAUAAAUGGUGAAACAUAUAUUCUUUUUUGCUUUGUGACUGUAAAAAUUACAAAAUUGUCUCCAUGUAAAAGUCAAAACAAAGAAAAUUUAUGACUACUGAGAGAGGUUGGACAGGAAUCACGAGUGUCUGUAGCA